RNAcentral lists this ribosomal RNA (497 nucleotides) under uncultured bacterium. RNAcentral describes it as "partial 16S ribosomal RNA". It matches the Rfam family "Bacterial small subunit ribosomal RNA", at positions 28 to 507 of the family's 1533-position model. The record is from RNAcentral.
GACGAACGCUGGCGGCGUGCCUAAUACAUGCAAGUUGAGCGCUGAAGGCUGGUACUUGUACCAACUGGAUGAGCAGCGAACGGGUGAGUAACGCGUGGGGAAUCUGCCUUUGAGCGGGGGACAACAUUUGGAAACGAAUGCUAAUACCGCAUAAAAACUUUACACACAAGUUUUAAGUUUGAAAGAUGCAAUUGCAUCACUCAAAGAUGAUCCCGCGUUGUAUUAGCUAGUUGGUGAGGUAAAGGCUCACCAAGGCGAUGAUACAUAGCCGACCUGAGAGGGUGAUCGGCCACAUUGGUACUGAGACACGGCCCAAACUCCUACGGGAGGCAGCAGUAGGGAAUCUUCGGCAAUGGACGAAAGUCUGACCGAGCAACGCCGCGUGAGUGAAGAAGGUUUUCGGAUCGUAAAACUCUGUUGGUAGAGAAGAACGUUGGUGAGAGUGGAAAGCUCAUCAAGUGACGGUAACUACCCAGAAAGGGACGGCUAACUACGUG